GCGUGCCUAAUACAUGCAAGUCGAGCGAGCUGAAUUCAAAGAUCCCUUCGGGGUGAUUUGUUGGACGCUAGCGGCGGAUGGGUGAGUAACACGUGGGCAAUCUGCCCUAAAGACUGGGAUACCACUUGGAAACAGGUGCUAAUACCGGAUAACAACAUGAAUCGCAUGAUUCAAGUUUGAAAGGCGGCGUAAGCUGUCACUUUAGGAUGAGCCCGCGGCGCAUUAGCUAGUUGGUGGGGUAAAGGCCUACCAAGGCAAUGAUGCGUAGCCGAGUUGAGAGACUGAUCGGCCACAUUGGGACUGAGACACGGCCCAAACUCCUACGGGAGGCAGCAGUAGGGAAUCUUCCACAAUGGACGCAAGUCUGAUGGAGCAACGCCGCGUGAGUGAAGAAGGUUUUCGGAUCGUAAAGCUCUGUUGUUGGUGAAGAAGGAUAGAGGCAGUAACUGGUCUUUAUUUGACGGUAAUCAACCAGAAAGUCACGGCUAACUACGUGCCAGCAGCCGCGGUAAUACGUAGGUGGCAAGCGUUGUCCGGAUUUAUUGGGCGUAAAGCGAGCGCAGGCGGAAUGAUAAGUCUGAUGUGAAAGCCCACGGCUCAACCGUGGAACUGCAUCGGAAACUGUCAUUCUUGAGUGCAGAAGAGGAGAGUGGAAUUCCAUGUGUAGCGGUGGAAUGCGUAGAUAUAUGGAAGAACACCAGUGGCGAAGGCGGCUCUCUGGUCUGCAACUGACGCUGAGGCUCGAAAGCAUGGGUAGCGAACAGGAUUAGAUACCCUGGUAGUCCAUGCCGUAAACGAUGAGCGCUAGGUGUUGGGGACUUUCCGGUCCUCAGUGCCGCAGCAAACGCAUUAAGCGCUCCGCCUGGGGAGUACGACCGCAAGGUUGAAACUCAAAGGAAUUGACGGGGGCCCGCACAAGCGGUGGAGCAUGUGGUUUAAUUCGAAGCAACGCGAAGAACCUUACCAGGUCUUGACAUCCUGUGCUACACCUAGAGAUAGGUGGUUCCCUUCGGGGACGCAGAGACAGGUGGUGCAUGGCUGUCGUCAGCUCGUGUCGUGAGAUGUUGGGUUAAGUCCCGCAACGAGCGCAACCCUUGUCUU
RNAcentral lists this ribosomal RNA (1101 nucleotides) under Lactobacillus delbrueckii. RNAcentral describes it as "bacterial SSU rRNA". It matches the Rfam family "Bacterial small subunit ribosomal RNA", at positions 42 to 1111 of the family's 1533-position model. Lineage: Bacteria; Bacillati; Bacillota; Bacilli; Lactobacillales; Lactobacillaceae. The record is from RNAcentral.